Aegilops tauschii subsp. strangulata is the source of this 1488-nucleotide non-coding RNA. The record is from RefSeq and is a predicted model, not a curated record. NCBI's taxonomy places the organism in Eukaryota, Viridiplantae, Streptophyta, Magnoliopsida, Poales, Poaceae.
ACAGCCCACCAACCGUCCCAGUCUACUCCCACACCCCACCCACCCCCGAUCCAGAUCCUCUGAUCCACCUCGUCUCCUCUCCUCUAUCGGCCUCACUUCCACCUCCUCUCCUCUCCUCUGCCGCCAGGAUCCCCUCCCCGUUCUUCUCUGAUUGAUGUCGUCCCCGUCUCUUCCCCUCUCCGAUCCAUGGCGGGAUCCUCUGCCGUGUACACGUUCUGCAGGCCGCACGCGCGCGCAGCCUUCCUCCACCACCCGGCCGACCAGGCCCAUCGCGGCGACCAGCCCGGGCUGCUCCCCGCCACGGCGGGGUGGCGCGGUGACCCCGAGGGCGAGCCUAGUGGCGGCGCGGACGGCGAUGGAGGAGGCGGUGUACGAGGUGGUGCUGCGGCAGGCCGCGCUGGUGGAGGAUCUGCAGGGGCGCGGGGCGGCACGGGAGGCUGAGGCGGGCAGGCGUCGGUGGCGGGAUGAGCAGCUGGAGCAGAAGGGCAAUGUCGAGCUCGGCAUACAGUCAAUAUCAUGCAAUCGGGGAUGUCAGCAAGGGAGACGUUGUUUCAUAUGGGCAGCACAACAGCCACAACGGUGUUGCCGUUCUCCACCAUGACUCUGUUCUGUUCCUCACGUGUACAUCGCUAGCACAUGGACGAUGUUUGGCUGCAACCCCUACUAUGGCUAGCAUAAGAGAAUAUCCAGAAACAAUCAAUCACACAAAUAAGAUGAGAGUGUAUCAGGCAUGUCCUCUUGAUUGCACAUUGGCGUCUGCCUGCAGAAGCUGCUUUUGCGCUGACGGGAUUGGGGUCGUGAUGGUACCUUCAAUUUGGAAUCUUGUUGUAGCAGGAGAGCGGAGCAGUUUGGAGAAAUUCAUGGUUAUUUACCGUUUCGAGUUAGAUUUAUUCCAUUUGAAAUGAGGGCAUAUAUACUUGAUUGGGUAUACGGAAUCUCAAUUUUGGCGCACAUGAUCUUACUAGCUUCUAAAUCCGCUCAGCUGUACUGAUGAUGGUGUGUUUGCUACUCACACAUUUUAUCCAAAGGAUCCUUGUGUCAAAGCGGUGGCCAGUUCUAGGUUGCUGGUAUGUAUUUUCACACCAUAUGUAUGCUUGUGCUUACCUCCAUAUGUAUGCUUGUGCUUACCCCCAUCCUCCUCGGCACAUUCAGUCAAAAUUUGACCAAAUACUGAAGAUGGUGAACUUGUGGGUGCUACGUGCCAUGCAUCUUGGCCAAUCUCAGGGAAAUAAUCAGUAAAGGCAGCAGUGUUUAGUUGUCCGCCACAGAGAUUCGUCGGCGAUAUUAAUUAGUAUAUCUCGGCCCAUUGUUCUUGCUAAUGAAGACUGUUACCAACAUUAAUUAUCCUUUCCUGUGUCUCAAAACUAUCAACCUGACUCAUAGAAUGAUUUUUUUCUUUAGGAUUCAUGUUUUUUCUUUUUAUUAUACAUUACAAUGAGUUCAUUGUAUUCAGUUUCUUUACAAGUUCAUGCAACUGAGCUAUUUGUA